RNAcentral lists this ribosomal RNA (300 nucleotides) under Triticum aestivum (bread wheat). Its description in RNAcentral is "partial small subunit ribosomal RNA". The record is from RNAcentral. Lineage: Eukaryota; Viridiplantae; Streptophyta; Magnoliopsida; Poales; Poaceae.
AUGAUGCAGGAGCUUGGGGCACCAUGUCCACAAUUCUUUGAAGAGAUGCCAGAUGAUGGAACACACUCCUACGGACGCGUAGUUGUGGUACUCAACGGUGUUCCAUCAGACAUGGACUUCUACGCGGAGCUCUCCACAAUGCAGCGGUCCUUCGAUGACACCCUACCAAUGCAAGAGGUUGCCAAGGAAGCUGUGCAUGGACUGCGAGCACGCUUUGGUGAGAAUUGCGCACCACCGGAUACCGUGACUUGCCAGCACUUGAUUCUGGAAGUUUUGGGCAAAACCAUCAGCAAGGACUAG